GCUGUGCAAAGGAUACAUCAUAUUGUUAAGUUGCUUUCCCAAGGGAGAUUUGGGUAAGAGGACUGAGAGAACAGUGACUGGUCACCCUUCUGCAAUGUCACAAUCCCUUCUGGACCUUUUGAGUGACUAAGCUGGAAACAUCCUAAGGGGAUUUUUCUGCUUCUUCUUUUUCCCAUCCUUUCACUACAUCAGGCUUGUCUCCCUGCUGUCUUAAGGAGACCACCUACAAUUUAAGGAAAUAAAGACCUCUGUGAAAAAACACAGGCAAACCUGAUAUUUAAUGGCACUAACUGUGGGAAGCCAAGGUACCUCAGCGUUCUCCUCCCAGCACUGCAAAUAAAUCCUAGAACUGCCCCCUAAUGCAGAGGAUACAAGAUGGGAGCAUCAUUUUAUCAUAACAAGGAUGUGUCCUUUGCAACUGUGACUCUCCUUGGCUGCCAUGUGGGAUGCUGUGACCAGCCUGCUGUGUUUUCUGUCUUUCUCUGGGACAGCUGAAUGGAUACAGAGACACGAGCUUUCAAUACCUGCAAGUUUCCAUCUGCUCUGUUGGCAGCGCUCUGCGUGAAAGGGACGAUGAGAAGUUGGAGAUGCU
Molecule: long non-coding RNA, 592 nt
Organism: Empidonax traillii (willow flycatcher)
Lineage: Eukaryota; Metazoa; Chordata; Aves; Passeriformes; Tyrannidae
Exons: 6
Source: RefSeq, a predicted model, not a curated record